RNAcentral lists this ribosomal RNA (478 nucleotides) under uncultured bacterium. RNAcentral's name for it is "partial 16S ribosomal RNA". It matches the Rfam family "Bacterial small subunit ribosomal RNA", at positions 28 to 507 of the family's 1533-position model. The record is from RNAcentral.
GAUGAACGCUGGCGGCGUGCUUAACACAUGCAAGUCGAACGAGAAGUGGAGACGGAAACCUUCGGGCGGAAGACUUUAUUUCGAGUGGCGGACGGGUGAGUAACGCGUGGGUAACCUGCCUCAUACAGGGGGAUAACAGUUGGAAACGACUGUUAAUACCGCAUAAGAACACAGCACCGCAUGGUGCGGGGGUAAAAACUCCGGUGGUAUGAGAUGGACCCGCGUUCGAUUAGCCAGUUGGCGGGGUAACGGCCCACCAAAGCGACGAUCGAUAGCCGAUCUGAGAGGAUGACCGGCCACAUUGGGACUGAGACACGGCCCAAACUCCUACGGGAGGCAGCAGUGGGGAAUAUUGCACAAUGGGGGAAACCCUGAUGCAGCGACGCCGCGUGAGUGAAGAAGUAUUUCGGUAUGUAAAGCUCUAUCAGCAGGGAAGAAAAUGACGGUACCUGAGUAAGAAGCCCCGGCUAACUACGUG